Molecule: unclassified non-coding RNA, 148 nt
Organism: Pongo abelii (Sumatran orangutan)
Lineage: Eukaryota; Metazoa; Chordata; Mammalia; Primates; Hominidae
Rfam family: Metazoan signal recognition particle RNA
About the family: The signal recognition particle (SRP) is a universally conserved ribonucleoprotein. It is involved in the co-translational targeting of proteins to membranes.
Source: Ensembl
GCCGGGCAUGGUGGCGCAUGCCUGUAGUCCCAGCUACUUGGGAGGCUGAGGCAGGAGAAUUGCUUGAACCCAGGAGGUGAAGGUUGCGGUGAGCCGAGAUCAGGCCAUUGCACUCCAACCUGAGCAACAGAGCUAGACUCUGUCUCAA